AGAGUUUGAUCAUGGCUCAGAUUGAACGCUGGCGGCGUGCCUAACACAUGCAAGUCGAGCGGUAACAGGUGUAGCAAUACAUGCUGACGAGCGGCGAACGGGUGAGUAAUGCAUUGGAAUCUUCCCAGUAGUGGGGAAUAACCAGUCGAAAGAUUGGCUAAUACCGCAUACGUCUGUAAAGGGAAAGCGGGGGCUCGUAAGACCUCGCGCUAUUGGAUGAGCCAAUGUCGGAUUAGCUAGUUGGUGGGGUAAUGGCCUACCAAGGCGACAAUCCGUAGCUGGUCUGAGAGGACGACCAGCCACACCGGAACUGAGACACGGUCCGGACUCCUACGGGAGGCAGCAGUGGGGAAUAUUGGACAAUGGGGGAAACCCUGAUCCAGCGACGCCGCGUGUGUGAAGAAGGCCUGCGGGUUGUAAAGCACUUUUAGUGGGGACAAAAAGCUACGGACUAAUAUUCUGUGGUCUUGAUUUAACCCAAAGAAAAAGCACCGGCUAACUCUGUGCCAGCAGCCGCGGUAAUACAGAGGGUGCGAGCGUUAAUCGGAAUUACUGGGCGUAAAGCGCGCGUAGACGGUUUUGUAAGUCAGAUGUGAAAUCCCUGGGCUCAACCUGGGAACUGCAUUUGAUACUGCAUGGCUAGAGUAUCGAAGAGGGAAGUGGAAUUUCCGGUGUAGCGGUGAAAUGCGUAGAUAUCGGAAGGAACACCAGUGGCGAAAGCGACUUCCUGGUCGAAUACUGACGUUCAUGUGCGAAAGCGUGGGGAGCAAACAGGAUUAGAUACCCUAGUAGUCC
This 795-nucleotide ribosomal RNA is filed under the name uncultured bacterium. RNAcentral's name for it is "bacterial SSU rRNA". It matches the Rfam family "Bacterial small subunit ribosomal RNA", at positions 8 to 796 of the family's 1533-position model. The record is from RNAcentral.